UACGAAGGGGACUAGCGUUGUUCGGAAUUACUGGGCGUAAAGCGCACGUAGGCGGAUUUGUAAGUCAGGGGUGAAAUCCCGGGGCUCAACCUCGGAACUGCCUUUGAUACUGCAAGUCUCGAGUCCGAUAGAGGUGGGUGGAAUUCCUAGUGUAGAGGUGAAAUUCGUAGAUAUUAGGGAGAACACCGGUGGCGAAGGCGGCCCACUGGAUCGGUACUGACGCUGAGGUGCGAAAGCGUGGGGAGCAAACAGG
This 253-nucleotide ribosomal RNA is filed under the name uncultured bacterium. RNAcentral describes it as "partial 16S ribosomal RNA". It matches the Rfam family "Bacterial small subunit ribosomal RNA", at positions 524 to 776 of the family's 1533-position model. The record is from RNAcentral.